CCUACGGGAGGCUGCAGUGGGGAAUAUUGGACAAUGGGGGGAACCCUGAUCCAGCCAUGCCGCGUGUGUGAAGAAGGCCCUCGGGUUGUAAAGCACUUUCAGUGAGGAAGAACGCCUGGUGGUUAAUACCCAUCAGGAAAGACAUCACUCACAGAAGAAGCACCGGCUAACUCCGUGCCAGCAGCCGCGGUAAUACGGAGGGUGCGAGCGUUAAUCGGAAUUACUGGGCGUAAAGCGCGCGUAGGUGGCUUGAUAAGCCGGUUGUGAAAGCCCCGGGCUCAACCUGGGAACGGCAUCCGGAACUGUUAAGCUAGAGUGCAGGAGAGGAAGGUAGAAUUCCCGGUGUAGCGGUGAAAUGCGUAGAGAUCGGGAGGAAUACCAGUGGCGAAGGCGGCCUUCUGGACUGACACUGACACUGAGGUGCGAAAGCGUGGGUAGCAAACAGGAUUAGAUACCCCUGUAGCC
This 465-nucleotide ribosomal RNA is filed under the name Vreelandella stevensii. Its description in RNAcentral is "partial 16S ribosomal RNA". It matches the Rfam family "Bacterial small subunit ribosomal RNA", at positions 338 to 795 of the family's 1533-position model. The record is from RNAcentral. Lineage: Bacteria; Pseudomonadati; Pseudomonadota; Gammaproteobacteria; Oceanospirillales; Halomonadaceae.